AUUUUCUUAAUACAAUUAGUAUAGGUGACUUCCAAUCAUCAAAUCUUGGUUAAACCCCAAGAGAAAAUA
This 69-nucleotide transfer RNA is filed under the name Mantella baroni. Its description in RNAcentral is "tRNA-Gly". It matches the Rfam family "tRNA". Rfam says of the family: Transfer RNA (tRNA) molecules are approximately 80 nucleotides in length. Their secondary structure includes four short double-helical elements and three loops (D, anti-codon, and T loops). Lineage: Eukaryota; Metazoa; Chordata; Amphibia; Anura; Mantellidae. The record is from RNAcentral.